AUUUAUAUAGUUUAUAAAAACAUUACAUUUUCAUUGUAAAAAUAAAAAAAUUUUUUUUUUAUAAAUA
This 67-nucleotide transfer RNA is filed under the name Papilio xuthus (Asian swallowtail). RNAcentral's name for it is "tRNA-Glu". RNAcentral also lists the same sequence under 1 other name. Lineage: Eukaryota; Metazoa; Arthropoda; Insecta; Lepidoptera; Papilionidae. The record is from RNAcentral.